This 460-nucleotide ribosomal RNA is filed under the name uncultured bacterium. RNAcentral's name for it is "partial 16S ribosomal RNA". It matches the Rfam family "Bacterial small subunit ribosomal RNA", at positions 338 to 795 of the family's 1533-position model. The record is from RNAcentral.
CCUACGAGUGGCAGCAGUGAGGAAUAUUGGUCAAUGGACGCAAGUCUGAACCAGCCAUGCCGCGUGCAGGAAGACGGCUCUAUGAGUUGUAAACUGCUUUUGUACGAGGGUAAAUCCCGAUACGUGUAUCGGUUUGAAAGUAUCGUACGAAUAAGCAUCGGCUAACUCCGUGCCAGCAGCCGCGGUAAUACGGAGGAUUCAAGCGUUAUCCGGAUUUAUUGGGUUUAAAGGGUGCGUAGGCGGUUCGAUAAGUUAGAGGUGAAAUCCCGGGGCUCAACUCCGGCACUGCCUCUGAUACUGUCGGGCUAGAGUUUAGUUGCGGUAGGCGGAAUGUAUGGUGUAGCGGUGAAAUGCAUAGAGAUCAUACAGAACACCGAUUGCGAAGGCAGCUUACCAAACUACGACUGACGUUGAGGCACGAAAGCGUGGGGAGCAAACAGGAUUAGAUACCCCAGUAGUC